This 254-nucleotide ribosomal RNA is filed under the name uncultured bacterium. Its description in RNAcentral is "partial 16S ribosomal RNA". It matches the Rfam family "Bacterial small subunit ribosomal RNA", at positions 524 to 776 of the family's 1533-position model. The record is from RNAcentral.
UACGUAGGGCGCAAGCGUUGUCCGGAUUCACUGGGUGUAAAGGGCGCGUAGGCGGUCAGCACAAGUCAGUUGUGAAAUCUCCGGGCUUAACUCGGAAAGGUCAACUGAUACUGUGCGACUAGAGUGCAGAAGGGGCAACUGGAAUUCUCGGUGUAGCGGUGAAAUGCGUAGAUAUCGAGAGGAACACCUGCGGCGAAGGCGGGUUGCUGGGCUGACACUGACGCUGAUGCGCGAAAGCCAGGGGAGCGAACGGG